GGUGAACGCUGGCGGCGUGCUUAAGACAUGCAAGUCGAACGCAGUCUUCGGACUGAGUGCCGCACGGGUGAGUAACACGUAACUGACCUACCCCCAAGUCGCGGAUAACUGGCCGAAAGGUCAGCUAAUACGUGAUGUGAUGUCCCCUUUCUGGGGGGCCAUUAAAGGUUUACUGCCGGGGGAUGGGGUUGCGUUCCAUCAGCUAGUUGGCGGGGUAAAGGCCCACCAAGGCAACGACGGAUAGCCGGCCUGAGAGGGUGGCCGGCCACAGGGGCACUGAGACACGGGUCCCACUCCUACGGGAGGCAGCAGUUAGGAAUCUUCCACAAUGGGCGAAAGCCUGAUGGAGCGACGCCGCGUGAGGGAUGAAGGUUCUCGGAUCGUAAACCUCUGAAUCAGGGACGAAAGACGCGUAAGCGGGAUGACGGUACCUGAGUAAUAGCACCGGCUAACUCCGUGCCAGCAGCCGCAGUAA
RNAcentral lists this ribosomal RNA (475 nucleotides) under uncultured bacterium. RNAcentral's name for it is "partial 16S ribosomal RNA". It matches the Rfam family "Bacterial small subunit ribosomal RNA", at positions 28 to 523 of the family's 1533-position model. The record is from RNAcentral.